Molecule: long non-coding RNA, 265 nt
Filed under: Lathyrus oleraceus (garden pea)
Lineage: Eukaryota; Viridiplantae; Streptophyta; Magnoliopsida; Fabales; Fabaceae
Description: Pisum sativum (pea) long non-coding RNA (PSAT_LNC013360)
Source: RNAcentral
UUGUGAACGCAGAUGCAGUCAAGAAAUACUUCGCCUAAAAAAGAAAAGAACAACUCGCUAAGUUGAAAACCCGAAUGGGCGACUUAGGCAAAAAUGAGUGUCUUGGUGGAUUGAAAACCCGAAAGGGCGAUCUAGGCAAAAAUUAGAGACAUAAAACAUAAAGAAUUUCCCGAUAAGUUAAGUACCCUACCUUGGGGCAACUUAUGCAAAAAUUAGGGAUUAUGGCAAGUAACUGCAUUCUGCUGAUCUGAGCACAAGGGUUGAC